CCCUUAGAUGUUCUGGGCAGCACGCGCGCUACAAUGGUCUUCGCAAACGGAUGCAUUCUCGAAGGAGAAUGCCAAUCUUGGAAUCUAUGCCUUGGUCGGGACAGUUGCUUGCAAUUUUUCGACUCGAACCAGGAAUUCCUUGUAAUCGUGAUUCAUCACAUCACGAUGAAUACGUCCCUGCCCUUUGUACACACCGCCCGUCGCUCCUACCGAUCGAAGAGUUAGGUGAAAUGUUUUGAUCGAUAAGAUUUGACUAUGGUCAACUCUCGUUGUGAAAUUCUGUGAAGCUGACUGUUUAGAGGAAGGAAAAGUCGUAACA
RNAcentral lists this ribosomal RNA (319 nucleotides) under uncultured eukaryote. RNAcentral describes it as "partial 18S ribosomal RNA". It matches the Rfam family "Eukaryotic small subunit ribosomal RNA", at positions 1470 to 1796 of the family's 1831-position model. The record is from RNAcentral.